UCCCAUGAGGGCGACAAGGUCACCGGGAUAUGCUGAACCAGUAAUCCCAUUCAAGAUCGUUUUCUCAGAUGAUUUCAUUCCUUUGGUUACCUUAACAAUGCCAAGAUAGCCAUACCCUUUGGUCCAUUGUGAAGCUCUGCUUCACAUGUUGCUGAUAACAGUAUAUUGUUGAGCCUCCUAAGCUUGACUCGGUGCACCAACUUAGACCAACAGAGAAGCAAACAAGGUUUCCAAUGUCUAUGAAGAUUUAUGAUGCGUCUUAAUGCAAUGACGAAGAUAUUCUAUUGAGAUAAAGACAAGACCCGUGUACAAGACUGAACCUGGACUAACCAAAUGCCAGCCAAAAAAAUAUUAUUUCUAUGGAUUUCGUGUUGAUCGUUUAGAUACAUCUCCAUCCGUGCCUGCGCCCAAACAGAGAGUAUCAGAAGACCAAUCUAGGCAACUGCUGAUGUGAACGUGCCCCUGUUCAAAUGUGAUGGCAUGAAGGUAAUGUAGCAGAAAUGUUCAUGUCAGAAAGGGGUUUACCUUCAGAUAUAUUGGUAAGGUUGGUUCUGUCUGAAACUUUAGCUCGUCGUGUCCUGCUUCAACAUCUUCCGCUGCACAUGCAUAAUAAUCAAGGGAGCCUUGGCACACCGGUUAAGGUGUUACCAUUGUGAUAUUGAGGUAACGGGUUCGAGUCCUGGAAGCAGCCUCUUGCAGAUAUUUCUGCAAGGUAAGGUUUGCCUACAAUACACCUUUGUGGUGGGACCCUUCCCCCGACCCCCGCUCAACGGGGACGCUUUGUGCACCGGGCUGCCCUUUUUUAAGUUUCUGUUCAUGAGGUGGCAUGGUGAACCCAGUGAAGGAGAAGGAAAGUCCAAGAGAGGCACUCGAGGCUCGACUCAGAGCAGCACCAUCAAGAGCCGGCUGAGCGC
Molecule: long non-coding RNA, 914 nt
Organism: Tarenaya hassleriana
Lineage: Eukaryota; Viridiplantae; Streptophyta; Magnoliopsida; Brassicales; Cleomaceae
Exons: 5
Source: RefSeq, a predicted model, not a curated record